CAACCACGUAGCGCGGGAGGAGACGUGCUCGGCAGGCAGCUGAGCUGUGAGGGCGAAGCCGUGGGGAGCGGGCGGGGGGCAGCGCGUUAAAACCGGGGGGCUGCGGGGGGCGGCAAAAAACGGAGCGAACCGUGCACGGGGCGGGGAGAGCGGGGCCGUGAGCGGGGCUGUGUCCUCUGCGUGGCCGCUCUGAUCGCUGCGGCACCCCGAGGACUGAGGGUCGUUUCCAGCCCCUCACGACCCCGCGUUGUCCCUGAGGUGAGGUCCUGCCGGGGGGCCUCGGUGUCGCUGAGCGCAGGGGCGAGAAAAACGCGUAUUUCUAUACAAAAGCGCACAUUUCCGUAGCAAAGCGGGCCUAUUUCCGUACAAAAUCAGUGUCUGGGAGGACAGGGCAGACAGCAGAGGGCGGCACAGCCCGCAGGCCCGGCGCCGGGCGCUGCUGUAACCCCGCUCUGCUCGGCUCUUUGCUGUUACUGCCCGUUCCCCUUCAGGUGCGCGGCAGCUUUCAGUUCUGAGCGAGAUCGAAAGCUGAGAGGAGAAUCGGUUCCUUUUCCCAUCCCGAGGCUGAAGCGGGUAAAGGAAACUUCGGGCUGGUACAAAAUACGUACAGCUGCAGAUCGCCGGGCUGCGGCAGCCGCACCUCGAGGCGGCCUCGGCCUUUUCCGCGGGGUGCCGCGCACAGACGUUGUGGCUGCAGCGUCUCUACAAGGAAAUGUUUUCGGGCUCGGGUGUGAGGGAAAGGCGCUGCCCAGAGGGCGGUGGGCACGGCACAGCUCCCCAGGGCACGGCCUUGAGCUGCCGGGGCUCGGGGGGCAUUGGGACACCGCUGCCAGCCAUAGGGUUUGGGUUUGGGUGGUGCUGUGUGGGGCCGGGGGUUGGAUUCGGGGAUUCUCCGUGGUUCCGACCUGCUUUGAGACGCGUGCACACAGCAGGGGUGGUGUCCGUGAGGACUCACAAAUUAGUGGUGGGAAGUUUGAAAAGCUCAGUGUUCGUACACUGAGAAAUGGAAAUCGUCCCCUGGUGUCAGCGAGAGGCUGAGAACGGCAGUGUGUGUCCCCCUGUCAUAGAGGCUCCUCUAGUGCUGCAAAGCCCCUCCAGGUGCCUGCUGUCCCGUCCACCUAUACAGGGUGGGUUUGCUUUGCUGUCCCUCCUCAGCCUGUGGGAUCACUCCUUCUUGGAAGCCUCUCUCCUGCUUUUCAGUGGCAAUUCGCAGGUCAUCGUCGCGUGAUUCAUUCAUUCCCUGGCCUUAUCAAAGACUGUUUGGAAACACCCUGGUGGAGAAAGCAUGACCCCUCCACCCUGGGAGGGUGCUCAUCACCUCCAUUCCGCCUCAGAAGAAGGGAUGGGGGAUGAAGGGAUGCCAAGGACAAAAUCCAGUCUGUAGCUGCGUUUUGCUGGCAACAGCAGCCAAACCCAUCCAAAUCUGCCUUUUUAGGGAGGAUUACAUACAUCCAAGCACACGUGCCUUCCUGCACCCGUGCAUAUGUGCAGCAAGCAAUAAGCUAUGAGCAGUGGUCUGGGACAGGUUGCAAGCACGGGGCAGUUUCCAUUGGGGUCAGCACUGAUGUGUACAGUCCCUGCUUGCACUCCUGUGGGGGGGAAAUCUGAAGAAUUUCAGCGUGGGUUGACCUGAAAUGACAUUUUGCUGCUUCUGUUUUUCUCACAGCCUUCUCAGUGGGGUGAGAUCUCUGUUCCUGCAACCCGCUCUCCCUUCAAACGCUGAUGUGUGCCUGUGUGUCAUUUCAGGUUAACUGAACUGGCUGCUUGGGUUUGAAACGAGAGCUGUUUCAUUUUUCGGGUCGCUUAACAGCCUCCUAACUGUAACAAACACAGUGAUUAAAAACAUGAAAAAUUACCCUGGAGGAAGGGGAAAAGCCUGGAAAAAGAUGAAAAACACUCCGAUUACCCCUUUACAAAUAUUUUUCUUUAGCUGAAGUUGCUAAAUUUGACUCAGCUUUACACACUGGAAAGGUUUUGCGGUGUGUGGUUUUUUUUUGGCUGUUUUUUUUUUUUUUUUUUUUUUUUUUUUAAUGGUGAAUAAAGUGUUUCUUCCUUGCAAAACCCCCCACCAACUCUCAGCCCAGUGAUGCAGUUUCAGUGUGUCACAGAGGCAGCGUCAGCUCAGGCUCCGUGUUGGUAAGGUUGGUGCAAACCCCACAGGGCUUCAGGUGCCUGAAACCUGCACCUGGGGUCACAGCACAGGGUUUUUUCCAGAGGUCUGGGAGGGACAUCUCCCCCCACUUUGUUCAUUUCUGCCAGGGUUGAGGUGAGUUCAGUGCUCUGCCCUCAGCUCCCAUACCUGGGGGACAUGGGGACAUUGCUUGGUGGCUGGUCCCACCCAAAGAAGGGUGCAUGUGCUGCUGGGACAGUUCUGCCUGUGGUCUCAUCUUGCUUGUUGGCUGCAAGCUCUCAGCACCCAUAAAUAAACCUGGGAGCCUCUUGCUGCACACUUUCUCCUGGCUGACAUUUUCCUUGCAGGAGUGAUAGGGCAGGGAAAGGCUGAGCCCUGCUCUUAAGCUCUGCCGCAAAAUGUCUCCAGCAAGCCAGCGUGCCGUGCCUCAGUUUCCCCACACACCCCAUGGAAAUGAUGCUGUUGCCACACAGGACUUUGGCAAAGUGCUGGCAGAUCUAUGUCCACAGUGCUUCAUUACCAGGGAGCUGUGGGACCUGCUGCUCAUUCCUCUCGUCCUAAGGCAGGGGUUUAAAAUAGCUCCUGUGACUCAUUGUGCCCAGAGGGGCCCAAAGGUGCCACCUCCGAGCCCGUGUGUACCUUUCUAGCAUGCAUUUCCAGCACGUCUGGCUGCUGCUCACCUCCCAUUCCCAGAAAGUGAUGUGAUAAAGAGAGUUUCUUGCCUUUACUGUGGCUGAGCACCGUGGCUGGAUGUGGGAAGGCAAAGGUGUGAUGAGCGCUGACCCUCUGCAAGUCCACAGCUGUCUGUUCAGCCCUAGAUCUCAGGAUUGGAUGGCAUGAAGACUUGUCCUGGUCUUGUUUCAUCCUUUUUUGGUUUUUGCUCUUUUGAGGUUGGAUAUUAGGUUACAUUUCUUCUCAGAAAGAGUGGUGAUGCAUUGUCACAGGCUGCCCAGGAGGGUGGUGGGGUCACCGUCCCUGGAGGUGUUCAAGAUGUGGCUCUGAGAGAUGUGGUCAGUGGGCUUGGUGUGCUGGGCUUGGACUCGGGGAUCUUAGUGGUCUUUUCUGACCUUAAUGAUCCUAUGAUGUAAAAGCAGCAGGAACAGCUAGACAAGGAAUACGACACUCAUCAUCUCCAACCCAACCCUGCUGUUCUUGUCUGGGAGGAGGGAAACUUGCCUAUUGCGACUGGAUGACCUUUAAGGUCCCUCAUAACCCAAGCCAUUCUAUGACACUGACUUUGGGUCUCCCAUCCCAUCCCCAUACUCCCAGAGGUGCGGAACGUGGACGGACCUGAUGGCUCUUGGCCACAUGAAGGUGCCACCAGGAGGGAGAGCUGCAGCGCAGGGCACAGCGGUGGACGGGAUCAGCAGCAGCAGACGGAAGCGCGGCAGCUAUCAGCGCGCUGAGCGGCGCCGGACCCACUCGGCCCUUUUCUAAGAAACACCGCAGCAGUUGUGAGCGUUUACGGGAAGGGUGGGCUGCGCUCAACCCGGGCAGCCGCGAUAGUGCAGGGGGAGGAUGCGGCGCGGGGGGCUCCGCGCUGCUUUGCUUUCGUGUAAGGACUGCUUCCCGGAUGGUCCGGAGGAAAAGCGAGAGAGGAGGUUCAAUGCAAACCGCAUCUCUAAAUAGGGCUGAACUUUGAAGGCAUUCAGAGCAGUGCUUCCUGCUCUGAGCAGCCUUGAGGAGGAGAUGAAAGAUGCAGCUGAGCAGGGGAAAAAAAGCAAAACAAACCGAGUUAACGCUUUGUGCAGAGGUGCAGCAGUGACACAACAUGGGAGUGCGUCCAGAGCUGGGACAGAGCUCUAGGGACCCCAAUUCCCAUAAAGCAGCUCUACUUGGAGAAGAGAGCACAGGAAAUGGGAUAGAAAUGCCGUUUUUAAGUAUAAAAUGUGCGGCAUAAAGCAGGGAAUGGCCCGAUUGGGUUGAGUUGGGGGUCUUGCCAAGUAGCUUGCAGACUGCUCAGCGCCCUUCCUUGGGGCAGAAGCAGGCACAAUCAAUGGGCAUCCUCCAAAAAGCAGCAUGGUGCCAACAGCUCAAUAGGAACAGAGUGUCAACAUUCUCAUAACAUCAAAUGAAACAAAACAAAACCUGACCAACAGCCCCAAAGCCAAAGCAUUACAGAGCUGGGAAGUGGGGUUUGACAGCUCAGAAAGUACAACACAAGCAAAGUGUCACUGCUGCCGACCAACAGUAACCGACUUCUCGUAACCUGGCCAUGGGCUUCCUCUGGGGCUGGAGGUGGGGACAGCACAACACCGGCUGCCUGCACCCUAUGCAACACCACCACCACCCACACAACACCAACACCCACCGCGCCGACAGAGCCGGAGCAACAGGCUCGGCAGUGCCCGAGUGUAAUUGGGUUGACAACAUCCGGUGUUUCGCAAGCUGGCUUUGAUGUCUGUUUACUCUCCAUCCCCAGCACAUGCUCCACAGCGGCCUGAAGCAGACAGAAGGGCUCUGCACUGCUUUGAUCUCUCCCAGACCUGCAGGGAAUGGUUGGGCUGAAGACACCCUGGAGGGCUGCGGUGCCCCAUGGGGCUGCCCUGGGUGGGAGCCUUUGGGGCUGGGCUGUGUUCUCCUCUCAUCGCCAUCGGGAUGCUGCAGCCCCAUGGUGUGUCAGUACCCCACUUGCUCCCAUUUCUCUCCGUCCCACCCUGCAAUAAUAAAGGGAUGCCUCCACUCCACGAUUUUCUUUUUAUUUAAAACCGCAUUGUAUAAAAAAAAUAGGAUUUCUGAAUUCCCCUGUACAAUAUUAACUAUUAACAAAAACCCGCGGGUGACGCAUAGGUUGCAUGUACAGACAACAGCGCUCUCUGCAAGCUCAGCCCGAAGAGUGCAUGGGCACACACAGCCCCCCCAGCCCCCAAAACCCCAAAUCCAUCCGUGAUGUGGGACAGACACAUGGACACAGAGCAAAAUCUGACUGGGCACUGGGGGUCAGCAGCUGCAGAAGCAAAACAUGGGUCAGGACCCACAUGGGUUAUAAAUAAAUAAAUAAGUUAUCCUCCUGGCUCAGGCUCCUCCUUGCAAAAAUCAAAAAUAAUAAAAAAAAAAGAAUAUCCACAAAAAUAAAUUAAAAACUUGGAGGGGGAAUAAAAAAGGGCAAAAAUGUUACCAUUAUUAACAACUGUACACCAAGCUUUGCUCCUGUAUAAUAACUCUGUACACGCAUUUACAGCUCUGUUGGGUUGCAUUGUUUGUGCAUUGGGAAGCAGAGGGCUCAGGGAAGGCAUCGCCGCGGGGCUCCGAGCUCCUCCUGACCUGCUUCCUUCUGGGAAGGGAAAAGUAGCUCUAACACCCAG
Molecule: long non-coding RNA, 5436 nt
Filed under: Gallus gallus (chicken)
Lineage: Eukaryota; Metazoa; Chordata; Aves; Galliformes; Phasianidae
Source: RNAcentral